GAUGAACGCUAGCGGCAGGCUUAAUACAUGCAAGUCGUGGGGCAGCAUGAGUGUAGCAAUACAUUUGAUGGCGACCGGCAAACGGGUGCGGAACACGUACACAACCUUCCUUCAAGUGGGGAAUAGCCCAGGGAAACUUGGAUUAAUACCCCGUAACAUUAUGGAGUGGCAUCACUUUAUAAUUAUAGCUCCGGCGCUUGAUGAUGGGUGUGCGCCUGANAGGUAGUUGGCGGGGUAACGGCCCACCAAGCCUUCGAUCAGUAACUGGUGUGAGAGCACGACCAGUCACGACGGGCACUGAGACACGGGCCCGACUCCUACGGGAGGCAGCAGUAAGGAAUACUGGUCAAUGGACGC
RNAcentral lists this ribosomal RNA (357 nucleotides) under uncultured bacterium. Its description in RNAcentral is "bacterial SSU rRNA". It matches the Rfam family "Bacterial small subunit ribosomal RNA", at positions 28 to 378 of the family's 1533-position model. The record is from RNAcentral.